AACGAACGCUGGCGGCAGGCUUAACACAUGCAAGUCGAGCGAGACCUUCGGGUCUAGCGGCGGACGGGUGAGUAACGCGUGGGAACGUGCCCUUCUCUACGGAAUAGCCCCGGGAAACUGGGAGUAAUACCGUAUACGCCCUUUGGGGGAAAGAUUUAUCGGAGAAGGAUCGGCCCGCGUUGGAUUAGGUAGUUGGUGGGGUAAUGGCCCACCAAGCCGACGAUCCAUAGCUGGUUUGAGAGGAUGAUCAGCCACACUGGGACUGAGACAGGGCCCAGACUCCUACGGGAGGCAGCAGUGGGGAAUCUUAGACAAUGGGGGCAACCCUGAUCUAGCCAUGCCGCGUGAGUGAUGAAGGCCUUAGGGUUGUAAAGCUCUUUCAGCUGGGAAGAUAAUGACGGUACCAGCAGAAGAAGCCCCGGCUAACUCCGUG
This 433-nucleotide ribosomal RNA is filed under the name uncultured bacterium. RNAcentral describes it as "partial 16S ribosomal RNA". It matches the Rfam family "Bacterial small subunit ribosomal RNA", at positions 29 to 507 of the family's 1533-position model. The record is from RNAcentral.